Molecule: microRNA, 22 nt
Filed under: Panagrellus redivivus
Lineage: Eukaryota; Metazoa; Nematoda; Chromadorea; Rhabditida; Panagrolaimidae
Description: prd-miR-7957a-5p
Source: miRBase by way of RNAcentral
AGUUUGUCCUUGGUCAUAUUGC